AGUGGCGAACGGGUGAGUAAUAUAUCGGAACGUACCCAAGAGUGGGGGAUAACGUAGCGAAAGUUACGCUAAUACCGCAUACGAUCUAAGGAUGAAAGUGGGGGAUCUUCGGACCUCAUGCUCCUGGAGCGGCCGAUAUCUGAUUAGCUAGUUGGUGAGGUAAAGGCUCACCAAGGCGACGAUCAGUAGCUGGUCUGAGAGGACGACCAGCCACACUGUGACUGAGACACGGCCCAGACUCCUACGGGAGGCAGCAGUGGGGAAUUUUGGACAAUGGGCGCAAGCCUGAUCCAGCAAUGCCGCGUGAGUGAAGAAGGCCUUCGGGUUGUAAAGCUCUUUUGUCAGGGAAGAAACGGCCGAGGCUAAUACCUUUGGCUAAUGACGGUACCUGAAGAAUAAGCACCGGCUAACUACGUGCCAGCAGCCGCGGUAAUACGUAGGGUGCAAGCGUUAAUCGGAAUUACUGGGCGUAAAGCGUGCGCAGGCGGUUUUGUAAGUCUGUCGUGAAAGCCCCGGGCUUAACCUGGGAAUUGCGAUGGAGACUGCAAGGCUUGAAUCUGGCAGAGGGGGGUAGAAUUCCACGUGUAGCAGUGAAAUGCGUAGAGAUGUGGAGGAACACCGAUGGCGAAGGCAGCCCCCUGGGUCAAGAUUGACGCUCAUGCACGAAAGCGUGGGGAGCAAGCAGGAUUAGAUACCCUGGUAGUCCACGCCCUAAACGAUGUCUACUAGUUGUCGGGUCUUAAUUGACUUGGUAACGCAGCUAACGCGUGAAGUAGACCGCCUGGGGAGUACGGUCGCAAGAUUAAAACUCAAAGGAAUUGACGGGGACCCGCACAAGCGGUGGAUGAUGUGGAUUAAUUCGAUGCAACGCGAAAAACCUUACCUACCCUUGACAUGUCAGGAACCUCCGAGAGAUUGGAGGGUGCUCGAAAGAGAGCCUGAACACAGGUGCUGCAUGGCUGUCGUCAGCUCGUGUCGUGAGAUGUUGGGUUAAGUCCCGCAACGAGCGCAACCCUUGUCAUUAGUUGCUACGAAAGGACACUCUAAUGAGACUGCCGGUGACAAACCGGAGGAAGGUGGGGAUGACGUCAAGUCCUCAUGGCCCUUAUGGGUAGGGCUUCACACGUCAUACAAUGGUACAUACAGAGGGCCGCCAACCCGCGAGGGGGAGCUAAUCCCAGAAAGUGUAUCGUAGUCCGGAUCGCAGUCUGCAACUCGACUGCGUGAAGUUGGAAUCGCUAGUAAUCGCGGAUCAGCAUGUCGCGGUGAAUACGUUCCCGGGUCUUGUACACACCGCCCGUCA
RNAcentral lists this ribosomal RNA (1303 nucleotides) under uncultured Telluria sp. RNAcentral describes it as "bacterial SSU rRNA". It matches the Rfam family "Bacterial small subunit ribosomal RNA", at positions 94 to 1399 of the family's 1533-position model. The record is from RNAcentral. Lineage: Bacteria; Pseudomonadati; Pseudomonadota; Betaproteobacteria; Burkholderiales; Oxalobacteraceae.